AGAACGAACGCUGGCGGCAUGCCUAAUACAUGCAAGUCGAACGAACUCUUCGGAGUUAGUGGCGCACGGGUGCGUAACGCGUGGGGAAUCUGCCCCCUUGGUUCGGAAUAACAGUUGGAAACGACUGCUAAUACCGGAUGAUGACGAAAGUCCAAAGAUUUAUCGCCAAGGGAUGAGCCCGCGGUAGGAUUAGCUAGUUGGUAGAGGUAAAGGCUCACCAAGGCAACGAUCCUUAGCUGGUCUGAGAGGAUGAUCAGCCACACUGGGACUGAGACACCGGCCCAGACUCCACGGGGAGCAGCAGUAGGAAUAUGGACAUGGGACGAAGCCUGAUCAGGACAAUGGCCGCGUAGGAGUGAC
Molecule: ribosomal RNA, 360 nt
Filed under: uncultured soil bacterium
Lineage: Bacteria
Description: bacterial SSU rRNA
Rfam family: Bacterial small subunit ribosomal RNA
Source: RNAcentral